CUUCUGAUGUCAGCCAGAGAAACGAGGGAAGUAGCAUGCUAAGAGGAAGAGAAAACCAGGAUAAAACCUCGGAGUUUACCUCUGAAAAGAAAAAAAAAAAACAGUUGGAGCACUUACCCAGUGGAGGUCCGGAGCCAAGUGACUGAACGAAGGAGAGAGUUACGUCGGCUAACCACUUGCCUUUCACCCAGAGAGCCGCAGCAAGGUCCAACAUCGGCGUGCUCCGCCUUGAUACACAGAGAGCAACGGUCAGGUUUUUUGGAGGACUGAAGAGUCUGAGGUUCAGGACAAACUUCCUGCUGUAACAGAUGCAGUGAAAUCAUCAAUAAAUGGCUGUUCUAGCAGCAGCCAUAGAUGCCCAACAGAACCAGCACCAUGUUGGACAGAUGAGGUAUUUUGGCUCAUGAGCUGUUGCUUUGUCCCUCCCCCACACUUCUUUCCUUUGUUUGAUAGGAGCUGAUUUUAGUUUCAUCAGCUGGGAGCAUGUUGUUCCACAAAUGCCUUGGUUUCUUUCUUUAUUUUUUGAACUGCGGUCUCAAACCUUCUGCGUUUGCUGCUUAGCAACGGUUGGUAUCUUAUGGUCAUUGACAAUGAAACAUGUUCACUUGCAUCUGGGAC
Molecule: long non-coding RNA, 618 nt
Organism: Amphiprion ocellaris (clown anemonefish)
Lineage: Eukaryota; Metazoa; Chordata; Actinopteri; Pomacentridae
Source: Ensembl